This 1288-nucleotide long non-coding RNA is filed under the name Callithrix jacchus (white-tufted-ear marmoset). Its description in RNAcentral is "lncRNA (ENSCJAG00000054063.2)". The record is from RNAcentral. Lineage: Eukaryota; Metazoa; Chordata; Mammalia; Primates; Cebidae.
CAGAGAGAAAAUAACCCUUGAGAAUGACUGGAGUUGAUUCAUCCUGUUGGGGGCAGACUGAAGAGGCCAGAGGCCAGCGCUCAGUUCCUUCUCCUGAGAGUCCCAGUACCACUGUGGAGAUUACAAAUUGUUCACCAAAAUCUGUUCUCCGUUCUUCCAUGGUAGUUGGGUACAUGGCUGAGUAUUAUUUCUUUCCUUCUGGAUCCAUUCUAAUGAGGCUUCUCUACCUCCUCAAACCAAGGAUGCUCACUGUGAUCCCAGCCAGACUCAGACCAUCAUUUCUCCAGUAUUACUGGUUACAUUACAUGGGCCUGUUCGGUGGGAGAGGAGACCACACCGAACAUGGGAACCAGGAUGAGAGAAUCAUGGGAGGUCAUCCUGGAGGCUCAGCUGCCAGAAAUCAUGGCGCUUUGAGUCAUGAAGCUCGGGAUGUGAGGUUUGCUUGGGCAGAUCUCCUACUGCAGGCCAGGAAUGUGUCAGAAACUUGCCUUAGAGAGAACACUGUCUUCAGAUGCUACAGAGCAGUGUGGUGACCAGUAGAAACUCCACACUUGAUGAGUGGCAAAUGGGACAGGGUCAGGGCUGUGGCCUUAAAGGAGCAGCCCACCUACCACCACCACCAGAUUGUACCUACGUCAAAGACUUUGAUAGCGUUUAGGAAGGAAGCUCUGGCUUGCCGCCAUUGAUACUCAGGCAUCAACUCAUUCAUGCUGGCACCAUGUUCACAAGGCCACCAGUGGCUGGGGAGGUCUUGGGAAGACCAGUCCAGUGGAAGCCCCAGUUAAAGGUAAGAGAAGCUGCUGGGUACUCUAGAGAAGUGCUUCUCAAACCUGAAUGUGAGCAUGAACCACUUAUGGAUUUUGCUAAAAGGUUGGUUCUGGUUUGGUAGGUCUGGAGUAGGGCCUGAGAUUCCACCUUCCUCUCAAGCUAUCUGAGUGUUGCUGAUGUUGCUGGCUCGAGGACUUUAUUUGAGUAAUGAGGGGCCAGACUAGCAGUGGAUCUUCAUGCUGGCUGCAAACAAUCACCUGGUGGAGUGUUAACCAACCAAAUGCCCAUCAAUGAGAGACUGGAUAAAGCAAAUAUGGCACCUCCACCAUGGAAUACUAUGCAGCCAUAAUAAAGGAUCAUGUCCUUUGCAGGGACGUGGAUGAAGCUGGAAACUGUCAUUCUCAGCAAACUGACACAAGAACAGAAAACUACCGCAUGUUCUCACUCAUAAGUGGGUGUUGAACAAUGAAAACACAUGGACACAGGGAGGGGAACAUCACACUCCGGGGCCUGUCAGGGG